This 954-nucleotide ribosomal RNA is filed under the name human gut metagenome. Its description in RNAcentral is "bacterial SSU rRNA". It matches the Rfam family "Bacterial small subunit ribosomal RNA", at positions 399 to 1355 of the family's 1533-position model. The record is from RNAcentral.
GCGUGAGGGAAGACUGCCCUAUGGGUUGUAAACCUCUUUUAUAAGGGAAGAAUAAGUUCUACGUGUAGAAUGAUGCCUGUACCUUAUGAAUAAGCAUCGGCUAACUCCGUGCCAGCAGCCGCGGUAAUACGGAGGAUGCGAGCGUUAUCCGGAUUUAUUGGGUUUAAAGGGUGCGUAGGCGGUUUAUUAAGUUAGUGGUUAAAUAUUUGAGCUAAACUCAAUUGUGCCAUUAAUACUGGUAAACUGGAGUACAGACGAGGUAGGCGGAAUAAGUUAAGUAGCGGUGAAAUGCAUAGAUAUAACUUAGAACUCCGAUAGCGAAGGCAGCUUACCAGACUGUAACUGACGCUGAUGCACGAGAGCGUGGGUAGCGAACAGGAUUAGAUACCCUGGUAGUCCACGCCGUAAACGAUGCUCACUGGUUCUGUGCGAUAUAUUGUACGGGAUUAAGCGAAAGUAUUAAGUGAGCCACCUGGGGAGUACGUCGGCAACGAUGAAACUCAAAGGAAUUGACGGGGGCCCGCACAAGCGGAGGAACAUGUGGUUUAAUUCGAUGAUACGCGAGGAACCUUACCUGGGUUUAAAUGGGAAAUGCCGUAUUUGGAAACAGAUAUUCUCUUCGGAGCGUUUUUCAAGGUGCUGCAUGGUUGUCGUCAGCUCGUGCCGUGAGGUGUCGGGUUAAGUCCCAUAACGAGCGCAACCCUUACCGUUAGUUGCUAGCAUGUAAUGAUGAGCACUCUAACGGGACUGCCACCGUAAGGUGAGAGGAAGGCGGGGAUGACGUCAAAUCAGCACGGCCCUUACACCCAGGGCUACACACGUGUUACAAUGGCCGGUACAGAGGGCCGCUACCAGGUGACUGGAUGCCAAUCUCAAAAGCCGGUCGUAGUUCGGAUUGGAGUCUGUAACCCGACUCCAUGAAGUUGGAUUCGCUAGUAAUCGCGCAUCAGCCAU